UACAGAGGGGGCAAGCGUUGUUCGGAAUUACUGGGCGGAAAGGGCGCGUAGGCGGCCUGUUAAGUCGAACGUGAAAUCCCCAGGCUCAACCUGGGAACUGCGUCCGAUACUGGCAGGCUUGAAUCCGGGAGAGGGAUGCGGAAUUCCAGGUGUAGCGGUGAAAUGCGUAGAUAUCUGGAGGAACACCGGUGGCGAAGGCGGCAUCCUGGACCGGCAUUGACGCUGAGGCGCGAAAGCCAGGGGAGCAAACGGG
This 253-nucleotide ribosomal RNA is filed under the name uncultured bacterium. Its description in RNAcentral is "partial 16S ribosomal RNA". It matches the Rfam family "Bacterial small subunit ribosomal RNA", at positions 524 to 776 of the family's 1533-position model. The record is from RNAcentral.